Medicago truncatula (barrel medic) is the source of this 80-nucleotide microRNA precursor. It matches the Rfam family "MIR5269 microRNA precursor family". The record is from Rfam. Lineage: Eukaryota; Viridiplantae; Streptophyta; Magnoliopsida; Fabales; Fabaceae.
UUGGAUGAAAUUAAUGUAGGACCUACACUUUGGAAAUAGAACCUACCUAAAGUGGUGGGACAUAAAUUGAUUUCACUCAA